GACGAACGCUGGCGGCGUGCCUAAUACAUGCAAGUCGAACGCUGAAGCGAGGUGCUUGCUCUUCUUGGAUGAGUUGCGAACGGGUGAGUAACGCGUAGGUAACCUGCCUUGUAGCGGGGGAUAACUAUUGGAAACGAUAGCUAAUACCGCAUAACAAUGGAUGACACAUGUUAUUUACUUGAAAGGGGCAAUUGCACCACUACAAGAUGGACCUGCGUUGUAUUAGCUAGUGGGUGAGGUAACGGCUCACCAAGGCGACGAUACAUAGCCGACCUGAGAGGGUGUCCGCCCACCCUGGGAUGAGACACGGGCCAGGCUUCCUACGGGGGGCACAGGAAGGGAACUUUCGCAAAGGGAGGGAAGCCGGACCGGGAAAGGCGGCGGGGGUGAGGAAGGUUUCGGAACCGUAAAGCUUGUUUUAAGGCGAAGACGGGGUGGGGGGUUGGAAAGUCACACUUGGGCGGGAACUUAACAAGAAAGGGCGGCUUACUUAGGG
Molecule: ribosomal RNA, 496 nt
Filed under: uncultured bacterium
Lineage: Bacteria
Description: partial 16S ribosomal RNA
Rfam family: Bacterial small subunit ribosomal RNA
Source: RNAcentral